GGUCAAGCUACAAAGGGCUCACGGAGGAUACCUAGGCACACAGAGGCGAUGAAGGACGUGGUUACCUGCGAUAAGUCUCGGGGAGUUGGAAGCACACUUUGAUCCGGGAAUUUCCGAAUGGGGCAACCCCUU
This 132-nucleotide ribosomal RNA is filed under the name uncultured cyanobacterium. RNAcentral describes it as "partial 23S ribosomal RNA". It matches the Rfam family "Bacterial large subunit ribosomal RNA", at positions 1 to 132 of the family's 2925-position model. Lineage: Bacteria; Bacillati; Cyanobacteriota. The record is from RNAcentral.